GCAAUACCUGACUGGCCUUGAGUCGAUGGAGCAAACUCAAUCAAGGUUCUUGCAACGUGAUUUACAGCUAAACAAAACCGAAAGCCAACAAGAGCAGUAAUAAUAAUAAUAACCAUCAUAGUCAAUGUGGAUGGGGCAACUGCAUGUUUUGAAGUUUUCGGUUCCCAUCAUCGCAUAUGUAUGCCCACAAAAAUGCAUUAUUUAUGAGCGUAAAAUUGUAAGAAAAACGCCAGCACGUUUUGAUCGAUUGAAAAUAAAUAUUCGAAGAACAAACAAGUGCAGUUUGAAUAGAAAGACCAUACUCUUCUCAACAAGGUUGUAAUUAUUUUCUGGACAGAGAAAAAAGACACAAAUAUAUUAAACAUUAGAAACCGAAAACUGCAGAUACAUUUCUAGAGUAUCCAAAUAUCCGCUGGCGCAGCAAAAGAAAAACCCGUAAAUAUAGAUUGCAUAAUGGCGAAAACAUGAUGAUGAUUGGCCAUAUAAGGCGGCUACUCCUCAAAACCUCUCCGCAUUCAAUUUAUUUAUACAGAUAUCAGAUGUGCAACUGUGGCACGAAUGAAAACGAGUGGUUCCGCCUUAAAGCAGACAUUUUGCGAUGUUUGCUGGCAAAUCGUUUUUCGGCUUUUAUGG
Non-coding RNA from Drosophila melanogaster (fruit fly), 633 nucleotides. NCBI's taxonomy places the organism in Eukaryota, Metazoa, Arthropoda, Insecta, Diptera, Drosophilidae. The record is from Ensembl.